ACGAAGGGGGCUAGCGUUGUUCGGAAUCACUGGGCGUAAAGCGUACGUAGGCGGACCUGUAAGUCAGGGGUGAAAUCCCGGGGCUCAACCUCGGAAUUGCCUUUGAUACUGCCGGUCUUGAGUUCGGGAGAGGUGAGUGGAACUGCUAGUGUAGAGGUGAAAUUCGUAGAUAUUAGCAAGAACACCAGUGGCGAAGGCGGCUCACUGGCCCGAUACUGACGCUGAGGUACGAAAGCGUGGGGAGCAAACAG
This 251-nucleotide ribosomal RNA is filed under the name uncultured prokaryote. RNAcentral describes it as "partial 16S rRNA". It matches the Rfam family "Bacterial small subunit ribosomal RNA", at positions 525 to 775 of the family's 1533-position model. The record is from RNAcentral.